CCGGAGUUGAGGAAGGGGAAACCUAGGGCUUGCAGGGCGGCGGCGUUGCUGCUCGAAAUACGAGCGGCGGCGGCCCGAACUAGAGGAGAAGAGAGAUGAGGGGCGGAGACAUCGCCGGUGGUUGUCGUCGUCGGAUUUCAGAGGGAGGAGAACGGAUUGGGAGCCUAGGGCUCGGCGGCUCUGCCGUCGUUCCGAGCGGGCUAGGCGAGAGACGAGCGAGGGAGAAGGAGCUGUGCGGCGGCGGCCGUCGCUUCGCCGGCGGCUGCUGCUGCAGUUGAGUAUGUGUGUGGAGAGAGAGCGAGAGAGUCGAGAGGGGGAAUUGGGAGGAGCAGAUUCUGUGUUUGUGUGCGCGUGGGUUUGAAGAGAAAAUGAGGAAGAAGUUGGGCUUUGGCUACUGGGCUGAUUUUAUUAAAAAUCUUUGGGCCUUAUUACUUUAUGUGUGGACUGCGAUUUUUAUUAAUUUAGGGCCCCCUUAAUUACUUCUUUUUGGGCUGCCAUAUUUUAAUUAAUUGGACUAUUAGUCAGUUUAAUUAAUUUAUUUAAUGAAUAAUUUGCAUAAUAAUAUUAUAUUAUUAUUAUGUGCAUAUUUUAAGUUAUUACUUAUCAUAUGUUUAAAGCAUGACAUUUAUUGCAUUUGCGUUUUGCAAUAAAAGCAUUUAUAAUUUAAUUGGUUUUAUUUAUAAUUCCAAUUAUUAAAGAAAAAUCGAGUAAGGAUAUUGUUGGUAUCCUUAACUCAAGAAUUUAGUUUCAAUUAUUUAUUUACUAAAUUUUGGAAACCCGGCGUGAUGAAUCAAGUAUGUUUAGUACAUCCACUAAGACUUUAAGUUAGCUUCACGAGACCUAUUAAGAAUAGAAUUUCUUGUAGGCAACCAAGGGGAUUAGCGUUGCUUUCCCAAGACGAGUUUAUGUGAUUAUGAUCUUCAGGCUUUGCCUAUCCAGGUGGGCUUACUUUCCAAAUGUAUAAAGUAUGAUUGAGUUAUUAAGCUCUAAAUGUUUCAAUGAAAUGCAAAUUGUUUAUUCAAUAAAAUGCAAACUGUUUAUCCAAUAAAAUAUUUUGUGCGCUCUGCUCCGUUUAAGGCUCGCAACAAUGAAUCGAUCGAGGUUCUCUCUUGACCUAACACGUUAUUUGAGAAUUGUGUACACCUAUUAGCUGACCUGGUGGGUUGAUCUCCAUCGGGCACUAAUCAUGUAUGAGGCGUUAUAAGGGUGCUCGACGGGAUGUGUUCCGGAGCAUGUAUCAUGUGAGGUCUGCCUGGGUAGCGUCCCGAGGAAUUCAACUUGGCUGGGUUACGCCCUCAGUCCAAGUCAAGCGGGAGUAAUGGAUCCGUCGGUGGCUAAAAGGUCCGGGAUCACAGCGAGUAACGGAAAGGGAGUGUGACAUGUGCGCACAAAUGAAAGAAAUUAUUUUAACAUGCUUAGAAGUUAUUUCACUUUAAAACCUUCUAAGUUAUGUCAAGUAUGAUUGGAUAAACUGUCUUUACGAAAAUAUGAAAUGUUUAUGAAAAUGCAUGCCCACUGAGUACAUUAGUACUUAGCCCAAAAAUACUUUCAAAUGUUUUCAGGUUGGCUGGCCGGUGCUGACGGGACUGAGCUGAGGCUAGGGUUCAAUUUCUAUAUAGACUUCCGCUGUAGUAAUAACUCUUAUACAUCUUUUGUUUUCUCAACUUAAGAUGACUUCAUGUCGAGCUUCAAUUUAAAAUUUCUAGUUUUUGUUAAUGAACGUCGGUUGUCAGAAACAUGAAACAAAACUUGUGAUCCAAAGGGGCUUAGCCCGACUCGUUAUCUUAUUAUUCGGGUUUUAACAAGGUUUGUCCUUGUUUAUUUCUAUGAAUUGGUUGCACCUCGAUUAUAUUAUUCAUUCAAGAAUUGGGGUGUGACAAGUUGGCAUAAGUAAAUAAUUCCAAUACAAAAAUCUUGAAUUCAACGCAUUUUUUUUCUCUCUUAACUCUAAGAGAGAGAUAUGAAAGAAGAGCUCCUUAGUUGAUAUAAAUAUCUGGAUAAUCUAGAGCUCCAAGUACGUCGUCGGCGUCUGUGUAGUAUAUAUAAUGAAGCGGAGGAGAGAGUUUGAGAUGGUGGCAUCGGAGAUCAGGUCCGCCAUUGAGGAGGUGUCGUUGCUAGUGGUCAACCUUAAAACUGGCGCCGCCGCCGCUGUUGAUGAUGCCGUUCCGAAUACUGCUCCCGUUCCGAUUCCUGCUCCUGUUCCUGUUCAGACUAGUGUCCAUAUUCAGAUCAAGCCGUUUCUCUCUCUCUGCAAUUUGCUCGUUCAAGUUCUCGGUCUCUCUCUCUCUCACUCUCUCUCUCACACACACACGUACACGUUACGAAAGUGUUUUUUAUUAGUCUCUGUGGAUUUACUUGCGUUAACGGAAUUAUUUUGCAGAUAAGAUAGGGCCAACAAUGGCUGUGUUGAGACAAGACAUUCGCCACAACAUUGAGGUAAACAAAAAAAAAACCGUAGUGAAAGUGAAGAGUAGUAGUUAAAUAAGUAGUGUGUGCACAAAUUUGUCACAUUGAGUGUGUGCAAAACACACGCACAUCACCCCCACCAAAAAGUCUUGAUCGAUGGGAACUCCACGGCCAAGAAAGAGAAAACAAGCCUUCCCCACAUUUUGACUUUUAUCACAUGACGAUCAUAUAUAUAUAUUACCCCAAAAUAUCCCCAUUGCUUUGUCAAAAGAUAUAUCUAUCCAAGUUAAGACUUGUAAUGCAUGUCACAUUGUCUACCAGGGUAUUUUCGUCAUUCUCUUUUUCUGGGAAGUUUGUCCUAGUUAUGUUUGUCCCCAUUCAAUGCUAAAUGCCAAUACAGAUUAAUAUUCUUAAAUUAGUCCAUAUUCACAACCUUAAAUUAGUUUGUAUUUCAUUGAUCCAGAGAUUAGAGAAGUUCUAUGAGUCUGAUCCAUCAAUAUAUUGGGAUGUGGUUGAGAUUUUGAAGAAAGAGGUGAAUGAAGGCAAGGCCAAAAAAGGGCCCACCUGCAGCAAAGCCUUUGUUUGGCUUAACAGGUCUCAACAUUUUUAUUUUUAUUUUUUUGACAUACAAGAUAAAUUAUGUAAGAAUCUUAAUUGAUUUGUUUUGUCAUCUUUAAUUUGCAAUUUGCAGGUCCCUUGAUUUUGCUCUGGCAUUGUUAGAGUUGCUUGUGAAGGAUUUUGGGAGAAACAUGGAGGAAGCAGUGGAAGCGUCUUACAUCACCACCUUAAAACCAUGGCAUGGAUGGAUCUCUUCAGCAGCCUAUAAAGUAACAUACCAUUCCCAUCUCCCAAAAAUAUAUAUGGAUAACAUUCGAGUUUAUGUCUUUCAUUUUUAUAGGUCGCCCUCAAACUGGUGCCCGAUAGCCGGACAUUCGUGGAUGUUCUUAAGGUCAAAGGCGAAGAAGACGACGUGCUCAAGAAAGACAUACAAAACCUCAUCUCUUUGCUCAUACCAGUGCUAGAGCAGAACAAGGAUAUUCUGGUUAGUUAUGAGUAAAUAUGUCCAUUUUUCAUAUUGUAAUUUUAUUUUUAUAGAAACCAAGUAAAACAAAUUCAUUUGCACUGCAGAGAGCGUAUGGUUUGGAUAAGCUGAAAUCGACGUAAAGAAAGCAUCCGAGAGAGCCAAAACAUCUGUAGAGUGUCCAAAUUUUGAUGCCUCUUGUUUUAGGCCAAUGUACAUAUGUAAAAUAGUUACCCUUCCUUUAUUUUCUUCUUCAAGUUUUCCUAAUUGUACACAAAACUCUGUCAUGAGCGUUCUUUUAAUUCGUCUCAUGAUUGUUUAUACAUCUUGAGAAGUUCAUAGAGAAAAAUUAAUAAAUAGAGUUGUGUUAGCGAUCCCUGGCCCUAAGGUUGUUGCAACAUGACAUUCUUGAAGAUGCCUAUCUUGUCUAUGCCCAAAUGGGAACCAUCAGCAGAAUGUAUGGGAGGAUCAUCAAGUGCAACGAGCGCAGCCACCAGGCCAGCAUUGCUCGCGAUACUUGCCUCCGUGAACAAGGGCUUCUCUCUUUCAUCCAAGAAAACGUCGUUCCUGUCUGGCCCUCCUACCAUAGCUCCUAUAAGAUUGUUUGGGUUUUUGCUCGGGGAGCUCAAAUACGAGCUCCCUUCAGGGCACGAGCGUGGUAUCCCGUCCCACGGGAUUGAUGCAGCCCUGUGGUGAACAUGAGUUGGAUAGUGACCUCCAUAUCCCACCAUGUAGCUCAUCUUCAUUGGGUUGUCUCCUAGUAUGUAAUAAACCUGAAAAAUAGGUUUUUUUGAGUUAGCUAAAAAGUUGACAAAACUUUGGAUGAAUCUUCAAAAUCUUGAGCUGCAUACCUGUGAUGCUGCAAAAUCUUGGAGCUUUUGACUAGAGAAGGUGUCGUUUCCGCAACCACCACUCGUUCUUCGUUGAAGUUGAAGAUAAUCACUGUAUAAUUUGCUGAGAAAAGAUGCAGUUGCAGCAUACUGCAGUGGUGCACCGAUGUCUGGUUUUUGGAGGACAAGCCCCCCUUCAAGAAACACUAAAUUUUUAAACAUAUUAUCUUAAAAAACAAAUGUAAAAUCAAAGCCUCUUACCAUUAGUGACAAUCAAAUUGUGGUUGGAAGAAACAUAGGAACACAUGAGCAAGUCAGUCCUGUUUGUGGCCAAAGCCUCUUCAUAUGGAUACCCCAAAUCCAUAAAAUAUCUAAUUCUUGUCAUCAAAAUCUGCAAAAUAAGAAAAAAAAAUGUUGAGCUACAAUUCAUUUCAAGAUCAUAUUGAACCUUAAAUAUUAAGAAAUAUCAACAUACUGCAUUAGCUGUGAGCUUGUUGUUCCAGUAGAAAACCCCUUUCUCAGAGGGAAGUUCUUCCUCCUCUGCUGCAGCGAAAUUAUCAGACGCGUAUUUGAGAUACGAAGCAUUCCCAGUCGCGAAAAACAACCACGUUCCACCCCACACGAGCUCAUCAAUAUAACCAGAUGAGGUGUAGAAAGCCUUAGCUCUGCCUCCACAAGCAUCACUAUCAGUAUACUUGUGAGGAUCAUUCUGCCUAAUAGCUAAAUCGAACAAUUUCUCUGCAGCCUCGACUAAUUCCUGCGAAUGCCUCUCAUCUUCGGCUAAAGCUAAAGAAGCGGCCGCCAUCCCUGCAACUACUUCUCCGGCUAAGUCUGCAGCUGAAUCAUUACAAACUGAAACAGGCCUAAUGUACUUCAUGUCCUCUGGUCUUUGCCAACAAGUAACGUCGUUAUCUUGAGGCCCAUCAUCUCCUCCAACCUUAAACAUUACGAACCAUAAACUCAAACUACGUCUUCUUCACAUAAUCAUGCAAGAAAACUAUCCCAAAUAGGUUUUGGAUCAAAAGCUUACCUGAGAGAAUAAAGUGCUGAAAUCCGAGGUUGAAUUCGGAGGUAUGAAGAGUUUGAGCAAGUAUUCACUUCCCCACUUGAUUAUAUCCUUAACAUGAUCGAGCUCUCCGAUUGCUGCAUAUUUCUGUUGAUAUUCAAUCACUGUCCAGCUUAGGACUGUGACUGUAUAAGCUGUAGUGAAGCUAAACUUGAUAUUGUUUCCUGCAUCAUAAUAGCCUCCAACAAGAUCUGCAGUAGUGUUCCCAUCUUUCCCAUCGCUUAAACUUGAAUUUCCUCGAAAACCAACCUUUGAAUCUCUCGGAAGAAUUCCUGCUGUCAGAAGACAAAAUAAAAAUUAAAAAAUAAAAAAAUGGGAUGUUAGAAAAAUAAUGAAAUUUUGCAAAGGACUAAAUUUAAAGUAACUUACACUUUUGUGCGUCGAAGAAGAGGAGAGCUUGGUUCAAAGCAAGAGUGAGAUCCUUAUUAUCUUGGUGCUGUUGAUUCUUGUGAAGCAGAAAAUGCAGCAGCAGGAUGAGAGUGGGGACGGCGAAAACAAGGAAAAUGGAGGCGUAGAGGCAGCGCUUGAAGUGAGCCUUGUUAGCUAUAGUUAGAUUGAAAUGAACGGAUUUUGAAAAUCUUGGAGGGAGGGAAUCCAGUCCAUCAAAUGUGGUGUGAGGAAGAAGGCUGGAAUCGAGGUCGGUGUGUCGAGUGGAAGAGGAUUUUGAAUGGACAAAUCUGCCUGAAUCAACCUCUGAUUCACAAGUUAUUGCAGACAUGGCUCAUCACACAAUGAAAAUUGUUUUUCUUUAUGAAAUUUGAUCGAGUUUGAGAUCAAGAGUUGUUGGAGAUGCAUGAGGUAACUGCAUGAAGCAGACCAACUUAUUCAUGGUUUUUUUAUGAAGUUGUAUUUGGCAAAGUUGGAAUUUAAAGAUUCUGAACGAUGUUUAAUGUUUGAUUUGUGUAUUUAUUAUCAACAAGUUUGUUAUCAUUUCAACAAAAAAGAAAAAGAAAAAAGGAAGAUUGUUAUCUUAUGAAAUAACGCUGGGCCGGGGCACAGCUCGUCGUUAUAAACAAAAUAAAAAGAUGAACUUUUACCAGAUUCAACGGACAUUUCAAAGCACACACAAAUAUGCAUAUCAACAAAUGUGCCCCAGAAAAAACAAAAAAAAUGACGUGGUUAAUAGGAAAAAAGUUUGAUAGCCGAUAUUAAUUUAUAUUGGGAAAAUUAUAGGUUAUCUCUUAAAUUAUUUGUCAUUUAACAAAACACGUAUCUUGAAUUGCCGAAAAUUGAAGGGAAACUCGUUGACGGCUUGAAGAGGGUGGUUGAAUCUUGAGCUAUGUUGUGUGGGUUGUGCUGCUGUAAGUGUCGAGUUUGGUGAGAAGUGGUAGAGAGGGCAGCAGUCGGCGGCUAUUGCUGUUCAGUCCAGGCGGAGGCAGCGUCGUUUAUGGCGCUGUCGUUGCUGGGAAUUUGAGUUUAGGGCACGAUGGCGGCGAGGAGCCGCUGUCACCGCCAGAAAUCGGGGAGAUGAGGUAGUGGUUGGAUCGAGAGUAGCAGGCAGCGAUAGGGGCGGCGGUUUCACGCCCUGCUCUGAGUCAGACCAGAGAUGGAGAUUCGGAGGGAGCCUUGGUAUGGUGUGUGUAGGGCUUCAGUCGGCGGCGGCCUCGUCGUCGCUGCCCUGAGUCGCCGGAGUUGAGGAAGGGGGAACCUAGGGCUUGCAGGGCAAAUACGUUUCUUGCUCCGAGAGGGAGAUCAGUUUGGCUGUUGAUAUCUGGUUGAUCCCUUCUGUUGCUGCCACUGCUGAGAAGGCCCAGCAACUCCCUACAACCAUGGACGUGUAUUUGUGAAGUGAUAAAUUAUGAAUGGAUGGAUAUGAUGAGGUGAGUUGAGUUACCACACUGGCCUUGAUCCUUAAUAGGUGUGACCGCCCCUUCCUUCCUCCAGUCCAUGCUAGAUGGCAAAGCACUCGCAUUCCCAUACCUAAAUGGCGUAGCUUCGGACGACUCCCGCACCCUGAGUCCAUUCCUAGCAGCCUUGAACUCCUCGUUGGUCAUAUCCGCGAAAGCGUUGAUCCCGACCUUGUACGCCCGAGCCCCCGCCGCAUUAAACUCCUCCAUGAACUCUACGUUAUCCUUAAAAAUCGCGAAGCGCGCCGCCUUUUCUUCUUCGUCUCGUACGUGCGUCCGUACUCCGACAUCCAACGCUCGUGUCUCUCUAACAUCGACGCCUUCGGAAGUUGGCGGGAAGCUGCGUCAGAAGCCCACGUCGCCAAAAAUAGGAUGGCCAGAGCUGAGAGUUUCGUCAUCGACACACCCAUUUUUCCUUCUCCUUUUUGUUGUGCUGAAAUAUGUUUGGUUUUGAUGUUUAUGAGCUAGCUUUGAAGCAAAUGUAUUUAUACGAGGUUUUGAUGAUGCAUUACCAAAAAUUAAAACAAACGAAUAAUCAAAGCUUUGCAAUUUGGCGUGGAGAUUAGGGUGAUUUGGACUAACUAUUGUCCGUAGACGCUGCUAAUUGAAACAUAUUAUUAUACAUUAAUACUAUAAUGUAAUGUAUGAAUUGCAACGUUAAUUAUUCGACUUUUAGGCCGGGACAAAUACUUUUUUGAGUCCCACAGUUAAUUGAGCCCAUUAACUCUUAAUUAAUUGUUUACCAUCAUUCCUUAUUAUUAAUUUAUUAUUUUAUUCAAAAAAUAUAUACAACACAAUUUUGAAUUAAUUAACUCAAAUAAAUAAUUAUAAAUUCUCAUUGAGUUAGUGAGUCUUAGCUUAUUAUCUUAAAUUAUCGUAAAAUUAAAAGUGAAGCAUAAAAAUAAUUAAAAAAUUAUAAAUAAUUGAACGUGGGACAAAUGAUCCCAUAUGUAUUUUUGUGUGUGGUACUGAAAAUCAAAGUAAAAAUUUAUGAUGUCAGUUACUUGUAUUUUUUUAGAAGACAAUUAGUGUCAAUUACACUAAUAUUGUUUGUGUUACUUUCGAGCAGAAUUUGUAUCCCAUGAUGACUAGGGAAUGUUAAUCUUGCCAUAAGGGAAUUUUGUUUUUCAGACAGGGAAUCCAAGCAUUGACCAACGCUACCAAUAGAUCGGAGGUUCAAGUCACCUAAAAAGUUAGAGUGUGAGUGUGUGUGUGUGUGUUUUUUUUUUGUUGAGUGUAACAAUUUUUUUUAAAAAUAGAAAAAUAAAAAAAGAACUUUCAGAAUUAGGAAAACCAGUAUUUUUAGAGUUGAUUGUUUGGGUCAGAUGAUUGGGUCCGGUUUCAGGUCCAUAAGCAGAAAGCCCAAAUGAAUUUGGUAUCCCUAACCCAAUUACUAGAGGAGAAGAGAGAUGGAGGGGCGGAGACAUCGCCGGUGGUUGUCGUCGUCGGAUUUCAGAGGGAGGAGAACGGAUUGGGAGCCUAGGGCUCGGCGGCUCUGCCGUCUUUCCGAGCGGGCUAGGCGAGAGACGAGCGAGGCCGAGAAGGAGCUGUCCGGCGGCGGCCGUCGCUUCGCCGGCGGCUGCUGCUGCAGUUGAGUAUGUGUGUGGAGAGAGAGCGAGAGAGUCGAGAGGGGGAAUUGGGAGGAGCAGAUUCUGUGUUUGUGUGCGCGUGGGUUUGAAGAGAAAACGAGGAAGAAGGGUUUGGGGGUGUCGGGCUUUGGCUACUGGGCUGAUUUUAUUAAAAGUCUUUGGGCCUUAUUACUUUAUGUGUGGACUGCGAUUUUUAUUAAUUUAGGGCCCCCUUAAUUACUUCUUUUUGGGCUGCCAUAUUUUAAUUAAUUGGACUAUUAGUCAGUUUAAUUAAUUUAUUUAAUGAAUAAUUUGCAUAAUAAUAUUAUAUUAUUAUUAUGUGCAUAUUUUAAGUUA
RNAcentral lists this long non-coding RNA (9095 nucleotides) under Salvia miltiorrhiza (redroot sage). RNAcentral describes it as "long non-coding RNA (SMIL_LNC010629)". The record is from RNAcentral. Lineage: Eukaryota; Viridiplantae; Streptophyta; Magnoliopsida; Lamiales; Lamiaceae.